UGAGUGAUUCUCUGGCGAUAGGAUUUCCACAUGAUUUUAGGAAGGUUCCACUUAGGAAUUCUUAUAUAUAAUAACAGCCCUUUAGACCAUAUGAUUCAAACCACCAAAUUUCUAGGAAAUACAAUGUUUAGCCUAAUUUUAUAGGAAUAUCCUCACGUGCUCAUUUGUUUUCUGAAAAGUAUAAGCAUUUUUCUCUCUCUACUCAGUCUCUUCAUUCCUCAAGAUUUCAAUCUUUAUUACGCACAAUCCAUAACGCACCACUUCCUAUAGGAAUAUACUGAUGUGACAUUUCAAUCUUCCCUUUUUUAUUCAUAUUCAUGUCCUCCAAAUCGAUUGAGAUGUAAUUGCUCAUCGCUCACUUAAAAAGGGGCGCGGGGGGUUGAUAGCAAUAAUUAUCUACGGCUCCUAAUGUUCUCUCCUUUAAAAAAAAGGCAGUUUAGUGUUCUGUGCUUUCUUGUCUAGGAGUUUGCUACUUAUUUUUCAUGUACUCACUCCGGUCCUUUUUACUCCGUAUAUAAGAUUUGUUUUAAGUCAAAUUUUAUAAAAUUUGACAAUAUUUAUAUGAAAAAAUAUCAACAUCUACAAUGUUAAAGUUGUGCAAUAUGAAAAUCAAAUUCAUUACGCAUCUAAUGAUAUAGAUUUCUUAUUGUAAUAUAUCAUUGUGUUGUCCCGCGACUGUAGGUGCUCUAAGAUGUUGUGGGUGGUUUUUGUGUUGUUUGUCUUCCUUCUAUAUUCACUUUGUACUUUUCAUUUUAGUUAGAGUCCUUUCUCAUAGUCUUGGGACUUGUACUUGUCAACCAUGCACUUAAAUAUAAGUAUUUUUAGAGGUUUCACUUAGCCCUACAUUUGGACUUGUACUUCUCAUUUUAGAGUGUAGAUUCACUCAUUUUGUUCCGUAUGUAGUCCCCUAAUAAAAUCUCUAAAAGACAUAUUUAGGAACGAAGAGAGUACAAAACAAAAGAUUAAGUCAUGAUUGAACGUAAAAAAAAUCAUAAAUUUAUUUGCAAGAAACUAAACUUAUGGCAUUGGGGAUCGCACCUUCUGCGUCAAUAGCUCCACACUUGCAUGUCCCUUUUUGUUUGUGGUCCUGGUAGGGAAAAAAGUCAACAUUUGCAGGACAAAAUUUGAUUUUAUACUUUUACAUCUUGAAUAUACACAAAAAGUUCCUGAGAUUUUUAAUUACUAUUAGGUUUUUAUACUUAAAAAACAGCAAUAGGUUACUUUAUAUUUUUAUGGCUUUAUUCCUCGGUUUGUCAGCCGUUGUGCUAAUAAUGACGCAGGUUGUUAUGCAGUUAUGUUUUUUUUGGCAUAAUCAAGAGAGAGAAAGAACAUGCUCAACCAGGAUAAGAAACCGUACCUGUCAAUCAACUGAAAAUUGUUAGCAGCGUUUUGCUUUAUAUCUUCCUGGGACUCUUGUUUUUGAUUUCCACAUAUUUCAUUUGAUGUCGAUGGGAAUGAAUGAUGUAUUUCUAGAGGACCAUACUCUUCCACAACAAUACCUGAUCUUUUUAUGCUGACGUUACUAGGAUGUUUGCCACUGGCGUCCUUGAAUGCCGACUCUGCAGCCUUCAAGUCAUAUUCCUCUGCACCAACAGUUGAACCAAUUAUUCCAGAAAUCUCCUGGACGUUUGAUAGGUGCUCAAUGCCCACAAGCAAACGACCAUACUGUUCUCCUCUGUGAGAAUUGAAACCUAGCUUAAUCCUCUGAAGAUUGGGCAUUGCUCCUUCCUCAAACAUCAGGAGCAGUACGCCACACCUGAACUCAAAAUAUUCUAGAGCAUAAAAUGCUCCAGGUGCGAAGCUGAUUAGUUCUGUAGUUUGUCGCUGGACGAACAAUGUGAGAACAGUGAGGGCUGGCAAUCCUCCCAGGAUAUGGAUAUCAUCCCUUAGCAGUUCACCGACGACAACUUUCAGAAUGCAGAGGUUGUUAAGCUGUCCAAACCACUCGGGGAUUAUACAAAUAGGUGGCAGCAGCUCGAUUGCCAUCACUGAAUUAGGAGGACUGCUUGACUCAUCCAAUAAAAUGGCGGCACUAGGCACAGUGACAUUUCUGAGGAUCCCAGUCACAUCAGGAAGUUCUGUUCCACCUCCGAGACGAAGAUGCAACAAGCUCUGAAGAUGGAAAAGAUCCGAUGGAACAGCUGCUACUCCUGCAUUUAUUUCAAGUGUUUCCAAGUGUUUCAGACCUUGCAUCUGAUCUGGUAGAUGUACGGUGUCGCUGCACGUGACCUGCAAAUAUCUCAACAGAAGCAAUUCAGAUAUACCCCAGAGGUCUACAUCAAUGCUUGGUUGAUCGUCCCAAAUAUGGAGGAUCAGGACUCGAAUAAGCUUAAACUCUGAGAUUAAAGGCAAACAGCUACUCAGUCCAGUAUAAGCAAGCGAUCGAACUUGCGACAGUCCUGUAGUUGUACAUGCUGGUGGGGUUGCAUAUGUUGCACUGCCGAAUUGGAGGGACAGGUGACUAACCUUGUUGGCAAGUCGUAUUGUCCUUUGAGAAUAAUCUAUUACAUUCACAAAAUUCUCCUCUUUGGACUUAGAUGUAAUAAAAUCAUGUACCAAGUGAUGCACUGCAUAGUACAGUAUGCCAUCGCUAUUGUCGACAUCUAUAUCUUGUAUCAGACCCAUACUGACAAGCUUAUCGAAAUAGCUCUGGGCAACUUUCAUUUUGCCAUUAUCUGUUGGAGCACAGAUAAAGCCUUCAACUACCCAUUGCUUUGUUAUAUCUUCCUUCAAGACUUUAUAGUUCUCCGGAUACAUACUGAGAUGCAAUAGACAUGUCUGCAAACAACUACUAAGGCAACUGUAGACAAAAAUGAGUACUUGUUUCAUUAUCUCGUCGGAAGUUGUAUUUGCAGGUAGACUGUUGACUACAAAAUCCUGUACACGAUCCCCAGAGGCCGAUUUGUUGUGCAGUUGUGCCGGGUUGAUGUGACGAUAACUUUGAACGGAAGCUUCUAUUAUUGAAUAGACGAAAUCAUGCACCCCUUUCCAGCGCCCUCUUGUUUGUUCCCUGUUCUCUACUGCAUCUGCUUCCCGUUGGCUUGCUAGAACACUGGCUACGCUGAUAAUUGCUAGUGGUAAACCAGCACAUCUUCUCACAAUCUCAUCUGAGGCUUCAUCAAACUGGCGAUAAUCUUCUUCUCUAGAACCAAGCACUCCAUUGGUGAACAGUUCUUUUGAGUUACUUACGUUAAGAGGUUCCAUCUUAAAUAUGUCCUUGGAUGGAUAACUGCAGCAUGCACGAGCAACAUCCUCGAUUUCCGUCGUCGUUACUAUUCUGCUGCAAUGAUUACCCUCCGGGAAAGCGUCACUAACAACAUCCCAUACUGAUGUAGCCCAUAAGUCAUCAAUUAUAAGAAAGUACCUGACAGUUUUGUUUUUGGUAUUAAAAUAGUGUUUUUUAAGGAAACAGAAAAUUUGCCACAUAAAAGGAUUUUUUAAAUAACAAGGAACAAGAGAUAAAUAACCAGCUAAUAAUUGACUUUGUAGUUGCUUUGGAAAUUUGGCAUGAACAACCAAGUGUAGCUGGAAAAUGCUAACGGAGGACGGGCUCCAUAUGGAGCCCCUAUUCAAUACGUACAAUAUAUAUUCACUGCAAAAAAAGUUAGGAAAAAAUUACGCAUACUCAUAUACCUAUAUACUACGUACCUCCAAUAAUUUAUCUUCAUGCGUGUCAUACAAUUAAAAAGACAAAUAUGUAAAUCAAAAUGGGCUGUUUUUGUGGUGUUGUUGGGCUGAGUUUUUUUUUCACAGAUUACAAAUCACCGUAUUUCUGGACGAAAUUCUAUAGAUUUUUAAUGAAUAUGUACAAGCUUUCAGAUAAAUGUUUUUAUUUUAAUUUUAAAAAUACGGUUUCCAAAAUUUUAAAACAAAGAGGCUCCAUAGAUCCUACCGCUUAAGCUUCACGCUCCAAUUGAUAGUUCCCAACAAUGGAGGAGCGUGCCUAGCCCAAUUGGUUCCUAGACUAGCAAAAUAAUCCGAACCCAUUAGAGGAAGUCUUCAAGCACGCCAAUUUGAAUAUAUGGUGAGGGUUUAUUCUAUGUCUAUUGACCAAAGGUAUUUCACAGGAAUUCCAGACGAUUGUAUGCCAUGGAUACUUUUCCUGUAGAAUUUGUUUCUCUCUAUAGAUUUGGAAGCAAUAGGAGUUCUUUUUACUAUGAUCUUGGAUAGACGACAACAGAAUCAGCUCCUAGGAUGUAAAAAUAGAAAUAUAUGGGACGUUUGAUCUCUGGUGGAUGGCGUAAAUUGUCCAUGUGGGAGCUAUUGGGGGCUCUGUAUAUUUGCGAAAACCCGGUUAGCUUAUAUUGUAGUCUUCCGCUAUGAUUGACUUUGGAUGCAAUUUCAAAUAAUUUUCCAUGAGGGUCAUGUGGAUUUUUUUUCUUCUGAAUGACAAGUAUAUGACGGGUACUUGAAGUUUUCAAGGAUGUUUUUGCUGUUUCUUUACUACUGCGACCACAGAAAUUUCAGUACACCCUUUUUUUUUAUUCACGUAACCUUCAUUGUAUAAUGAUAUCCACUUGCUAUCAUAUUCUGUUUAUGUUACUUCUUAAGCCUAUCAAACAAAAAGCCUAGAUACACUCAAUACAAUUGGACAAUAAAGAAGGAAAGAUCACAAAUGAGUCAACAUAAAUUUGUUGUGCGACUGGGCAUUGAAGACAAAGAGGCAAAUAGAAGCAAUAGCUAUAUGCUGGGUACCAACCACCGGUAGCACCAAAAGUGUAAAAUGAUGAAUAAGUUUGGGAAUUUCGCAUAUACUUGAACAACCACUCUUAGGUGUGUCUCAAUAAGUUUUAAAUGCCAAUAGAAAGAUGGAAAGCAAUUUAUAUCAUUUAAAUUGUGCAAGCAAAGACUUCAAAGAAAAAUAUAUUGCUCAUGACACCAUCUGGAGUUUCAUAGGCCAACCAAUAGAACCUCAAUUGACGGAUAAGAUUGGAAAACUUCACAUCUACUUCAACAGAGGCCCCCGUUGUUCCAUGGUUGUCUGUGCCUCAAAAAGGACAUGAGGGCUUCUUCGAUUGGGAUAUUGGCAAUUCAUAAUUUCCAUUUUGUUCCUGGGAAAAUUGUCAUUGUAUCGAGAGUACAACUUCACUGUAUUAACAAGAAGAAUGUGACGGGUGGCUCACCAUGAGCCUUGAGAAAACCCACCUUUAAGUAGUCUUCAUGGAGUAGGACAAGCCAUAUCAUUAUCCUACCCUUCCUACCUACCACCACCAUGGGUAGCCUUAAUCAUUUGUCAUGCAUCUUUAGCCUAUGCCCAUAUAUGGGCAUGCAUCCUCAUUCACUCAGUACUUGAAUACACUCAAGGGGAUAGCAUUAGAGCCCUGGGAUCAGUAGACUCGAUUCUCAAGAGUUGCAAAUAUAUUCGAUCAACCUCGGUCUAGGGAUCGAGAGAGUGUGAUGAGAAGUCGCAGACCAUUCAGUCAUUGGACAAACCAUCCCUCAAGGUUUCCCUAACAUGGUGCUAGGUCGUGCUUCACCAAGGGAGAACACUAACUUAAAAAAAACAUCAUUGUGUCACUCUUUUUGGUGUAUGGUGACUUCGUUGUAAGGUUUGCAUACGGACCAUCUCCAAAUUCAUUUACAAUUGUGUUAACAAAGAUAACCACCUAGUUGAGACUUGUUUUCAUAACAUGAACAUCAACUAUAGGUCAACCUAGUUGAGAGUUGUUUUCAUAACAUGAACAUCAACUAUAGGUAUUUUUUUCUCCCGUUGCAACACACGGACCCUUUGGCUAUUAAACCUAAGGCAGAGACGCUCGCGGUGGACUCGACCAGGCGGGCGACCGUCCGUAGAUUCAGAGAUAUCUUUUUUUUGGGUUUUGUUUUGUGGGGAGUAGAUGUGCAGAGAUGUUGGCGGCUGAUGCCGGAGACGCGGGUCACGGAUGCGAAGAUGCCGGAGACGCUGGCCAAGCACGUGACGACACCGUCAGCAGACGCGGAGAUAUGCCGGAGGAGAUGCCCUCCGCCUCCUCAAAUUUCCGCCGCCGCAUGUAGAUUCCCACUGCCGCCGGUCCAAUCCGUUUGUGCUGGAGGAAGGGGGUUCCGUGUGCAGGUCUGCUGCUGCGGGUUAAUUUUUUCCAAAAGCGCCUAAACUAGUUAGGGCGGUGCUCUGCGGGCGCGCGUCGGCCGAAACUUUUGAAAAGCAGCACACGGGCUGUUUGAUCCGUUAGAUUGGAUCUGUUUAAUCGUCAGAUAUGUUCAUACAACAAAAAUUCUCGAUGCAUCAAAUUUCGGUCCCGGAUGCAGCAAAAAAAUGAAGAAAGUAUUAAAAAAGGAAACUUACAAAAAUAAAUAUAUGAAUCAAACCCAAGGCCACCAUUUUGACGAGUACUAUCAUCAUACCGUGUGCCCUAUCUCACACAAACACAUCGAUAAAUUCGGCUCACCAAGCCGCCCGCCGCCGAGCCAGACACACCAAUCCAUCUAAUAGACCCUCAACUCGUACCGUAUGUGCACGCUCAAUAAUAUGCCCCCGCCAUCUUUCGUCAUCCCAUCGUUAGGUGUAAUAAAUGCAUUGCCCUUGCCGAGGCUGACAACGCCGAUGAACACGGUCCAGCACCGAGGCCCCACUGUGCCACGCUGUCGUCGAUGAUGAAGAUGCAACACCACUCCAUCUCUCGACCGCUCCAAGUUAACACCUGCUACAGAGCAAUGCUCCUUGAAGGAAGCAUGAGACCAAAGAUACUGCGAUCAUUCGAUCCAGGAGUCUCAUACCUAGGGUUUCCCCGAGCAUAUUGAGCAUGGUGAUGCAACCUGCUAUGACGAUGCCACGAUAAGGAAAUGAUGUCGGAGACACCGCCAUCAUCCGCCAUGACCAAAGUUGGCACAGUUUUCAUCGGAUGUAUCGCCACCUCGAUCUCGCUACUGACUGGAUGCGCGUGGAGCCUCACCAUGAAGAUGUACACCGCCACCAUCGGUGGUCCCUCCAAUCUAAGAUCACUCCUGAACCAAUGCCCUCAAGAUGGACUACGACACAGAAACACCGUCAUCGCUCGAUCCCGAGAAAAUCUAGGAUUUCCCUGUGUCCUCGUGGACCCCGGCACUUCACCCCGAGCAACAUGGCGGCCACCAAAGCCAAUACCGAUUGGGUGUGGCUGUGGACCAGCCCACUCGCAUCCACCCCGUGCAGCAAAACAUGCCUUCCAACGUGUUGCUUCAUCACCACCGCCCCCAACCGUCACCACGCUGUCGCCUCGUGUUCUCGCCAGGAAGCAAUCCGACAUACCAUGGAGACCCAGAUCCAGGAGCACACACUCCCGCUCGUCAAGAUGCCUCGCACCACCCUGCGCCGCGAGUGAACGAUCUUCUCCGCCAAUGCUAUCAGCCGCCCAGGCUUAGCCCGAUGGCGUUCUCCUGCAAUGGCAGGGAGGAGGGAGCGAGUUGUGGCGGAGGGCCUAGAUGUUGGGCUUGGGUGCCGCAUGAGUUUCCCGAGCAAGAGGUCGAGGCGGGGGCGGGUGAAUCGUCUUUCUUUUAAACAAGACUACUUAAUUAAGUAUUUCUUUUAAUAACAAGAUUAACGCAGCAAUGCACGGAUAUAAUCUAGUAUAUCUAAAUUACAGUACAUCCAUGGAAUCAAGAAAGUGAUUUUAUAUUUACCUCGGGAUAUCUAGAUUCGCGUUCUUUCUUUAAACUAGACAAUUCCCAGCACGUUGUUGUAGGAAUUGUUGGCAAUAUGUUUAGAUGAUACUUAUUUAUGUCGAAUGUGAAUAUUACAAUUGACAAUAUGAGCAUGAAAAUACAAAUAUAUGAGACUUAUUAUACUUUCGAAAUAUUUUUGGAAAAGAUGUAUCAUAAUGCGAGUUUAAAAUUCCUUGGAGUUGUUCACACAUGUGUCUUUUUCAUUGAGAAAAAUUUGGACAUGAGUAGUGAGGAUGAACACCCCCCCGGCGUUGUUACGAGAACUUUGUUAAAAACAUGUGUAAGUAGUUGUUAUAAACUUAAAAUCAGUAGAAUAACGUGUCUAAAAAUAAAAUACAAACUUUUAAAUAAGAGUUAAAAAUGUUAUUUCGAAUUAAAAUAUGAAGGAUGACUAACAUGAACAUAUGAUGUGGCAACGUUACAUACAUAGACUAAUGCAAAAAAUAGUUGUAAUUUGUAAGUUAAAUUUAUGUCUUGCUUAUGUGAAAGAUUUUACAUGAAUUAGUGAGAGAAAAUACUUAAAUGCAUUGCUUAGUGGAACGUUGAGGUGUACAUUUUAUAUGUUGAGAGCACUUAUGUGGAACACUUUGCAUGGCUUAGUGGAAGAAAAAAAUUAAAUGCAUUGCCUAGUGCGAUGAUGAGGUGGAUACCUUAUAUGUUCAGAGAAUUGAGACCAACUUUUUAAAAAUGUAAAAUGCAUGACUCCACUAGCAUACAAUUGAAGCGAUUGAAACUACUAGGUAGGUUCUAGAAAAAUGCACCUUUUAUUUUGUAGAUGCUCGUUGAUGUCGUGAAUGAGGUCGUGCACCCCACUAGUGUUUGGUGGUUGGUGGGGACGAACUUGUACCAGUAUGCUCCUGAGGAUCCUCCUCAUGUCAGGUUUCUUGGCCGUCCGCACAAAAGCCCGGCAAUCGAAGUCCCCGAGUUUCUUCUCAAGCCAUAGCUGUUUGGCAAGCGUGGUCUUGCCGAUCCCACCAACACCCACAAUGGAUACAACCUUGAGCUGCUUAUCUCCAUCGGCCAGCCAUUGGCAGAGUGUAUCAACCGCUCCGCCCUUGGCAUGAAGGCCCACUACUGGAUCUGGCUUCCGGCCGCCGUCCGUUGGAAACCAGUGGUCAACGACAGGAAAAAUAUAUGUACGGCUGGGGACAGUCUCAAGCAGGUAUCUAUCAUACCGUUCAUUAGCCGCCUUCACACGAGCCUUGAAUCCGGACAUCUUCUCGAUCCAAUCUGCUUGGGCGACGACACAGUUCUCCAUCUCAUAGGACAGCUCGCGCACAUCCUUCAUCCAGUUUAUUGCUAUAUGGGGAAGGUCUUGUGCCUUAGAGAGCUUCAGCAGCCGGGUUGUGAGUUUCCGGAUGCCAUCCUCAAGUUUGGUAUCCCGGAUUGCAUCUAGUUUCAUAGAAAGGGAGCCCAUGGCACCCAAACAAGCACUAAACAGAGGUAGUUCCAUGUCCAACUCUCUGCACACAAAACAACGAACCAAAUCAACAAGAAAUCACACUAAUAUGACCAGAUAUACUCUAAUUAGUCUGAGGUCCAUGCAAAAUCAGAAGAAACUCUAAACCGUUGCAUCCAGGAGCGAACAGAAAAGAAAGCAGAUCUGUUUCUUCUAGCGUGAAUAAUCCCUGGAUGACGCAUGCGGCGUACCAGUGGGCUUGCUCCUCGUAGCAGACGGGGGAGCCAGGUUAAGGUUGCUCCUCGUAGCAGACGGCGGCGCCAGGUUAAGGUUGCUCCGGCCCGGAACGGCAGAUGUGGAGUGAAAGGAGAGACCAAUUCACGGAAGAGAAGUGGUCAACAUAGAACCAGGCAACGAAUCAAUA
This 9461-nucleotide long non-coding RNA is filed under the name Hordeum vulgare. RNAcentral describes it as "long non-coding RNA (HVUL_LNC002551)". Lineage: Eukaryota; Viridiplantae; Streptophyta; Magnoliopsida; Poales; Poaceae. The record is from RNAcentral.